UAGGGAAUCUUCGGCAAUGGGGGCAACCCUGACCGAGCAACGCCGCGUGAGUGAAGAAGGUUUUCGGAUCGUAAAGCUCUGUUGUAAGUCAAGAACGGGUGUGAGAGUGGAAAGUUCACACUGUGACGGUAGCUUACCAGAAAGGGACGGCUAACUACGUGCCAGCAGCCGCGGUAAUACGUAGGUCCCGAGCGUUGUCCGGAUUUAUUGGGCGUAAAGCGAGCGCAGGCGGUUUGAUAAGUCUGAAGUUAAAGGCUGUGGCUCAACCAUAGUUCGCUUUGGAAACUGUCAAACUUGAGUGCAGAAGGGGAGAGUGGAAUUCCAUGUGUAGCGGUGAAAUGCGUAGAUAUACGGAGGAACACCGGUGGCGAAAGCGGCUCUCUGGUCUGUAACUGACGCUGAGGCUCGAAAGCGUGGGGAGCGAACAGGAUUAGAUACCCUGGUAGUCCACGCCGUAAACGAUGAGUGCUAGGUGUUGGAUCCUUUUCCGGGAUUCAGUGCCGAAGCUAACGC
Molecule: ribosomal RNA, 513 nt
Filed under: uncultured bacterium
Lineage: Bacteria
Description: partial 16S ribosomal RNA
Rfam family: Bacterial small subunit ribosomal RNA
Source: RNAcentral